UAAUACGUAGGGUGCGAGCGUUAAUCGGAAUUACUGGGCGUAAAGCGUGCGCAGGCGGUUUGGUAAGACAGGCGUGAAAUCCCCGGGCUUAACCUGGGAACUGCGCUUGUGACUGCCAGGCUAGAGUACGGCAGAGGGGGGUGGAAUUCCACGUGUAGCAGUGAAAUGCGUAGAGAUGUGGAGGAACACCAAUGGCGAAGGCAGCCCCCUGGGUCGAUACUGACGCUCAUGCACGAAAGCGUGGGUAGCAAACAGGAUUAGAUACCCUGGUAGUCCACGCCCUAAACGAUGUCAACUAGGUGUUGGGUGGGUAAAACCAUUUAGUACCGUAGCUAACGCGUGAAGUUGACCGCCUGGGGAGUACGGCCGCAAGGUUAAAACUUAAAGGAAUUGACGG
Molecule: ribosomal RNA, 397 nt
Filed under: uncultured bacterium
Lineage: Bacteria
Description: bacterial SSU rRNA
Rfam family: Bacterial small subunit ribosomal RNA
Source: RNAcentral